This 472-nucleotide ribosomal RNA is filed under the name uncultured bacterium. Its description in RNAcentral is "bacterial SSU rRNA". It matches the Rfam family "Bacterial small subunit ribosomal RNA", at positions 28 to 507 of the family's 1533-position model. The record is from RNAcentral.
GACGGACGCGGCGGCGUGCCUAACACAUGCAAGUCAAAGGAAAGCGGCUCGGCCGGGAGUACUGGCGCAAGGGUGAGUAAAGUAUAGGUAAUCUGCCCUUUGGACUGGGAUAACCCCCGAGAAAUCGGGGACAAUACCAGAUGAUGCAGCGGAACCGCAUGGUUAUGUUGUUAAAGAUUUAUCGCCAAAGGAUGAACCUAUAUCCCAUCAGGUAGUUGGUAAGGUAACGGCUUACCAAGCCUACGACGGGUAGCUGGUUUGAGAGGAUGAUCAGCCACAUGGAACUGAGACACGGUCCAGACUCCUACGGGAGGCAGCAGUGAGGAAUAUUGCGCAAUGGGCGAAAGCCUGACGCAGCAACGCCGCGUGGAUGAUGAAGUUUUUCGGAAUGUAAAGUCCUUUUGUAGAGGAAGAAUAUCUUGGUUUACCAGGACUGACGGUACUUACGAAUAAGCCACGGGUAACUUGCGUG